GGAAAGGUGGCCACCGCUGGGAGUGCUGACCGAGAGAUGCUGCGAGAACUGGCAGAAUCCUUAAAACUAUUCAAAUGACCUCAUUUGAUUAAUAUGGCAGUGGAAGCCCAGAGUUUCAUCACCAGAGCUGUCAAUAACAUGGAGAGAAAAUGAAACCUCGACAAAGCAUGUAUUGACUCGAAUGGCUGAAGAGUACAGAGGUAUCAGCUUCAGGUCCAACCUUACAUUAUAAAGAGGCUGAGUCUGGUGGACAACUUCGUUGCAUUUUGGGCAUCUGUUGCUAUAGUAAAAAUGUCUCACAA
Molecule: long non-coding RNA, 302 nt
Filed under: Rattus norvegicus (Norway rat)
Lineage: Eukaryota; Metazoa; Chordata; Mammalia; Rodentia; Muridae
Description: long non-coding RNA NONRATT022575
Source: RNAcentral